GCUUGUCUCAAAGAUUAAGCCAUGCAUGUCUAAGUAUAAGCCUUUAUAUGGUGAGACUGCGAAUGGCUCAUUAAAUCAGAAACUGUUUAUUUGAUAGUGCCUACUACAUGGAUACCUGUAGUAAUUCUAGAGCUAAUACAUGCAUCAAACCCCGACUCACGAAGGGGUGUAUUUAUUAGAUGGAAACCAAUGCGGGGCAACCCGGAUUAUGGUGAUUCAUAAUAACUUUCAGAUCGAUCGCAAGAUCGAUGCAUCAUUCAAGUUUCUGCCCUAUCAGCUUUGGAUGGUAGGGUAUUGGCCUACCAUGGCUUUAACGGGUAACGGAGAAUUAGGGUUCGAUUCCGGAGAGGGAGCCUGAGAAACGGCUACCACAUCCAAGGAAGGCAGCAGG
Molecule: ribosomal RNA, 391 nt
Filed under: Chrysamoeba tenera
Lineage: Eukaryota; Chrysophyceae; Chromulinales; Chrysoamoebidaceae
Description: partial small subunit ribosomal RNA
Rfam family: Eukaryotic small subunit ribosomal RNA
Source: RNAcentral